CUCAGCUCCAAUGCACAAGCAGAAGUGCUGAAUUCACAAGGGAGCAGGCAGCAGGGGAUAUAUCGGCACCAUUUUUUCCUGUAAUAUCCAAUUCCUCAAUGACACAGUCAGCACCUCUAUUAGAAACAGCAGGAACAGCUGAAUUUUCAAAAAUGCAAAAGCACAAAUGGAGUAAUUUUGCAGUCUCAAUGAAUGAAUUAGAAAAUGGAAUCCAGUUCUCAUUAACCUUCCCCAGUACUUUGCUCAUUUAUGAAAACAAAAAAUGCAGUCAAACCUGUAAAGCAAAAAAAAAGGGGGGGGGGCUUUUUCCCCCCCUUGGGACAUGGAUUUAUUGCAAGAAUGUUACAAUACAGCUUCAAUGACAGUUCCUGCUAUAAUGGGGCAUCUGCUUAACUAGCUUGUCUCUAGCUUGUCGACUCCUGAAUUUGUAUCCCAACAAACCAGGGCAGUCCAACAAAAUAAAAUAGGCAAAAGUAUAUUUCAGUGUUUUUACCCUCAAAGCAGUAAUGAUCCAAAUACGUGCCUGAUGCUUCAUUCUUAGGUAUAGCCACUCUCUUUUCAUUCUAUGUUUAUGCAGUACUUAAAACAAGCGGGCUUUGGCCUAUUACUAGAGCGCCAAGAUAUUUCAAUUCUCACUGAAAUCAAUAGGGAUUGAUGAUGUUCAACAACUUUUAAAGACUAAGUCCUAAUUGGUUAAUCAUGAUUUGAGGGAACGUCAGAAAAAAGGAGUCAGAAAAGGAGGCUAAGCAAAUAUGAUUAUAGAGAUAACAGGAACAGUUCUAUCACCUGCAAUAACACUGACGGCCUAAGAAAACAAGCCUAUUAGUAAGAAAAUCUGUAGUUUAAAAAAGUUGCCGAAUAAGCCCAUUAACAUCUGGCUGGAAAUAUAAAAUAGAUGGUGCAGCAGAAGUAUGCUCUAUUCUUAUACUGAAGGCUAAAAAACAGUUUCCCAACACACACACACACACACACGCGCACACACACACACACCGCCUUACAAAGAGAAAUGGCACUGACGUAGGUGACAUUAGGUAGCAACUGAAGCAUGUAACUUGAGGGGAACCAACAAACCAGAGCAGUAAGCAGCAUACUGUAUUAUUUUUGCUAGAGUGGGAUACAAACCCCGCCCCCCCCCCCGAAAGCUGAAGCACCAUUGGAGAUCCAGAAAGAGUAGCUUGUGAUUGAGCACAGAUGUUACUUGUUAGCAGCAAGCUGCAUGAUGCAGCUGGCAUGAACACUGUAUUGCCUCCCACCAGUUAAGCUCAUAUUUAUUUCCCAAAGAUAUUCAGAAUCGAAGAUGCAGGUAAAUGUCCCAUGUUCAAAUAACUCAUACGAGCACUUCACAGGAGUUUCAACAUAAUAAAGCAGUAUGAUGAGUGUCAGAAUAGCAUGAUUAGCAGCACUACAAGUAUUUUAUUGUGCAUGACCUUGCUAGGCCCGAUCCAAAAUUCAAUGGAAGCAUGAGCACUGCAUUAUGUCUGUUAUGGAUUAGGCAGGUCUAAUGCUUUCUGUUUUGUUUCGGGUAGCCACAAAAAUGGAGCAAUGAGGCACUUUUCUUUACAUUGCCGCUUUCUCUUUUAGUUAGGUCCAUUAUGUGGCCAUAGAUAGGAGUAACAAUUACCUCUAGUAAGUAGCCGCUUACUCCUUUUUUCAUUUGAGUAAGGGUUGCUCAAUCUGUGCCUCUGGUAAGGACUGCUUAGCCAGAACGUUCAUCUGUAAGCAUGUAGGUAUAAGAAUGGAAAGUGAAAAGAGCCCUCAUUUUGUUCUCUCUUCCUUUUUGCCCAUUGAUGCAACUGACCCACGUUCUCUGUAAAAGCACCAGUCCCAAGAAUAAAUGAGGAAUUGUGACUGAUUUACAAUUAGACUCUGCUGCUUCUGCCUGGGGUAUGUUUGUAGAGUCAUGAUCUACCUCUUAUUUACACAGUCAUACAUCAUUUCUCAAAAAAUGAAGUACAAAAAAACCAUGCCCAACAUGCCUGUUCUUUUUGUAAGACAGCUACUCAUGCUACUCCUCUUUUAGUAUAGCAAUCACCUACUGUAACAAUUUUCUCCCAUUUAAUAAAAAGCUUCUCUCAUUCAUAAAGCUGCUCUACCUCUCUCCACCCCCACAUUUCUUCCCCACACUUGAACAUUUACAUUACAGCCAACAGAUAAAGUAUAUGUUUAAGGGAUUUGAAAAGAUAAUUUGGUCCAUUAUGGCCACUCAAAAUGCCUCCAUAUUACAACUAUAUAAAAAUAUUAAUUCUCAACUAUCCAGUAUGGAGAUAAAAAUCUAUAAACAGAAACAGUUCAAUAUUUAAAUAAGCAAACAAAAAACCACAUGCCAUGACAUCAGAUUACAAAUAAUCAUAGAUUCCCUAGGCUAGAGUAAAAAAAACCAAACAACCCCCUCCAGAACAAACAAAUGCGACUUCAUUAAAAACAAGACAAAAAACCAAAUAGUCUAGUGGCUUAAAACAAUUAUCUUUAAAUUGUACUAAGCAGAAAAAAAAAAAUCCUGCAAUUCAUUGGGACAUUCAUUCCAAAUAUUGUAACACUAUUCCAGAAACCCGAGAUACUUCCAUUUCAGGAGAAAAAAAUUCAAACAAUUUUCACACAACAAAUGUUUUACUUUAUCAUAAUCAAUAACAAUAUAGUUUCCCCCUCCCCAGUAACAUGUACAUAGACUGAAAAUACUGCUGUAUUCACUGCUACUAAUCUAAAUGUGUUUUAAAAAGAACAGAUCAAAGUUUUUCUUCUUUGAUAAGCAAUUCUAGAUAAGUGAAACCUGAACUCUGACAAACGAGUGAAAGAUUUUUUUUUAUUGCAUUGUUCCAAGACAUUGUCACAGUCUGAAAAGCACCAUUAAAGUAAGAGCAUGAGUUAGAGCUGAUGAAUUUAUAUUGCUUUGUUUUAUUGCCCCAGACUCAUUCCAUCUUUGAUAAUUUUAAAGGCAGAGAA
Long non-coding RNA from Gavialis gangeticus (Gharial), 2940 nucleotides. RefSeq lists it as uncharacterized. NCBI's taxonomy places the organism in Eukaryota, Metazoa, Chordata, Crocodylia, Gavialidae. The transcript has 2 exons. The record is from RefSeq and is a predicted model, not a curated record.